This 1147-nucleotide ribosomal RNA is filed under the name Salmonella enterica. RNAcentral's name for it is "bacterial SSU rRNA". It matches the Rfam family "Bacterial small subunit ribosomal RNA", at positions 1 to 1138 of the family's 1533-position model. Lineage: Bacteria; Pseudomonadati; Pseudomonadota; Gammaproteobacteria; Enterobacterales; Enterobacteriaceae. The record is from RNAcentral.
AAAUUGAAGAGUUUGAUCAUGGCUCAGAUUGAACGCUGGCGGCAGGCCUAACACAUGCAAGUCGAACGGUAACAGGAAGCAGCUUGCUGCUUCGCUGACGAGUGGCGGACGGGUGAGUAAUGUCUGGGAAACUGCCUGAUGGAGGGGGAUAACUACUGGAAACGGUGGCUAAUACCGCAUAACGUCGCAAGACCAAAGAGGGGGACCUUCGGGCCUCUUGCCAUCAGAUGUGCCCAGAUGGGAUUAGCUUGUUGGUGAGGUAACGGCUCACCAAGGCGACGAUCCCUAGCUGGUCUGAGAGGAUGACCAGCCACACUGGAACUGAGACACGGUCCAGACUCCUACGGGAGGCAGCAGUGGGGAAUAUUGCACAAUGGGCGCAAGCCUGAUGCAGCCAUGCCGCGUGUAUGAAGAAGGCCUUCGGGUUGUAAAGUACUUUCAGCGGGGAGGAAGGUGUUGUGGUUAAUAACCGCAGCAAUUGACGUUACCCGCAGAAGAAGCACCGGCUAACUCCGUGCCAGCAGCCGCGGUAAUACGGAGGGUGCAAGCGUUAAUCGGAAUUACUGGGCGUAAAGCGCACGCAGGCGGUCUGUCAAGUCGGAUGUGAAAUCCCCGGGCUCAACCUGGGAACUGCAUUCGAAACUGGCAGGCUUGAGUCUUGUAGAGGGGGGUAGAAUUCCAGGUGUAGCGGUGAAAUGCGUAGAGAUCUGGAGGAAUACCGGUGGCGAAGGCGGCCCCCUGGACAAAGACUGACGCUCAGGUGCGAAAGCGUGGGGAGCAAACAGGAUUAGAUACCCUGGUAGUCCACGCCGUAAACGAUGUCUACUUGGAGGUUGUGCCCUUGAGGCGUGGCUUCCGGAGCUAACGCGUUAAGUAGACCGCCUGGGGAGUACGGCCGCAAGGUUAAAACUCAAAUGAAUUGACGGGGGCCCGCACAAGCGGUGGAGCAUGUGGUUUAAUUCGAUGCAACGCGAAGAACCUUACCUGGUCUUGACAUCCACAGAAGAAUCCAGAGAUGGAUUUGUGCCUUCGGGAACUGUGAGACAGGUGCUGCAUGGCUGUCGUCAGCUCGUGUUGUGAAAUGUUGGGUUAAGUCCCGCAACGAGCGCAACCCUUAUCCUUUGUUGCCAGCGAUUAGGUCGGGAAC